GAUAAACGCUAGCGGCAGGCCUAACACAUGCAAGUCGAGGGGUAGCAGGAUUAAGCUUGCUUAAUUGCUGACGACCGGCGCACGGGUGCGUAACGCGUAUGCAACCUACCUUAUACUGGGGUAUAGCCCGGAGAAAUUCGGAUUAAUCCCCCAUAGUACUAAUGAAUCGCAUGGUUUAUUAGUUAAAGCAUUGCGGUAUAAGAUGGGCAUGCGUCCUAUUAGCUAGAUGGUGAGGUAACGGCUCACCAUGGCUACGAUAGGUAGGGGGCCUGAGGGGGUGGUCCCCCACACUGGUACUGAGACACGGACCAGACUCCUACGGGAGGCAGCAGUGAGGAAUAUUGGUCAAUGGGCGCAAGCCUGAACCAGCCAUGCCGCGUGCAGGAAGAAUGCCCUAUGGGUUGUAGACUGCUUUUAUUUGGGAAUAAACCUCUUUACGUGUAGAGAGCUGAAGGUACCAAAUGAAUAAGCACCGGCUAACUCCGUGCCAGCCGCCGCAGUAA
RNAcentral lists this ribosomal RNA (503 nucleotides) under uncultured bacterium. RNAcentral describes it as "partial 16S ribosomal RNA". It matches the Rfam family "Bacterial small subunit ribosomal RNA", at positions 28 to 523 of the family's 1533-position model. The record is from RNAcentral.